Molecule: ribosomal RNA, 119 nt
Filed under: Gigantopelta aegis
Lineage: Eukaryota; Metazoa; Mollusca; Gastropoda; Neomphalida; Peltospiridae
Source: RNAcentral
GUCUACGGCCAUACCACGUUGAAAGCACCGGUUCUCGUCCGAUCACCGAAGUUAAGCAACGUCGGGCCCGGUUAGUACUUGGAUGGGUGACCGCCUGGGAACACCGGGUGUUGUAGACA